This 1719-nucleotide unclassified non-coding RNA is filed under the name Leguminivora glycinivorella. RNAcentral describes it as "spliceosome-associated protein CWC27 homolog, transcript variant X3". The record is from RNAcentral. Lineage: Eukaryota; Metazoa; Arthropoda; Insecta; Lepidoptera; Tortricidae.
GCUAAACGCUGUGUUGAUUAUUGAAAAUUUAGCUUAUUUAUCAUAAUUUGUUAAAAUACUCAAUGUAUUUUGAUAAAUAAAUAAUAUUCCAACAUUUUUUCAAAUGUGGUAAAGUGAGAACGAGAUUAAAAUGAGUAAUAUUUACAUUCAAGAACCGCCCGCGCUUGGAAAGGUGCUAUUAAAAACAUCAGCGGGUGAAAUUGACAUAGAGUUAUGGACAAAAGAGGCCCCCAAAGCGAGCCGCAAUUUCAUACAACUAUGUAUGGAAGGAUACUAUAAUGGUACAAUAUUCCACCGGGUGGUGCCAGGGUUUAUAGCACAAGGCGGGGAUCCAAAUGGAGACGGUACGGGCGGAGAAUCCAUCUACGGAGCACCAUUCAAAGAUGAGUUCCACACUCGUCUCCGGUUUAACCGUAGAGGUCUCGUGGCCAUGGCCAACGCUGGGAAGGACGACAAUGGCUCUCAGUUCUUCAUUACUCUCGGGGCCACUCCGGAGCUGCAAAACAAGCACACCAUCUUUGGGAAGGUCACCGGUGAAACCAUCUACAACGUGUUGAAACUAACGGAAGGCCUCAUCGGUCCUGACGACCGGCCGGAACAUCCACACAAAAUAACCGGAGCUACAGUCAUUAUUAAUCCGUUCGACGAUAUUCAACCGAGGGUCGCGGCCACUAAACCUGUAGAGGUUACUAAGAAGAAGAAAGAACGGGCGGCGGCUGUUAAAAACUUCGGUCUACUAUCAUUCGGCGAAGAAGCAGAAGAAGACGAGGGGGAAGCCAUGGAGUACAGAGGGAAGCCCAAGUCCACCCACGACCUUCUAGAAGAUCCUAAACUCAGCAAGAUGACUGCCGCUGAAUUAGAACUAGAAGAACGAAAUCAAAGCGAAAAACCUCCAACUCAAGAGGAACUAAACGAAAAAGAAGAGGAAACAGCAGCCGCAGUCUCGAGUAUAAGACAUAAACUUAAGAGGAAAAGUCCAGAGAGAAAGAGUGAAAGCCCAGAAGGAAAAAGAAGGAAGAGUCAGAGUGAUGAAGAAGAGUAUUAUAUUGGGAUGGACAGAGAUAAGGAGAGGAGGAAGGAAAGAGACAGAAUAAGAAACGAAAUAAAGCAACUCAAAAAAGAGAUGAACGCGCCCAAAGAAGACAAACAGGAGGAAAAAGAAGUAGAGAAAGAAGAUAAAAAGAAAAUUAAAGAAGACAACGAGAUGUACAAGGAUUAUGUGGAAGAACAGGAGAAAUAUAAGAAGAUGAAGGAGAAAUUACCGAAGAAAGGGGCUGCCAGAGAAAGCUUCACGUUAGAGCUACUCGCUAAGUUCAAGAACAAACUGCACGCUAUAAAAGAAAAGGCUUCCACUUCGGAGGCCGAGCCGACGGCGAGUACGGAAGGAGCCGAGGAUGACAACCUUAAUAGUGACGACUGGCUCGGUCACAAACUUCGGUUCGAAGAAAAAGGGCCCCUUCUAGCGAAAGAUGCAUCCACGAAAGGAGACGACUGGUUCGACAUAUACGACCCGAGGAACCCGCUCAAUAAGAGGAAGAGAGAGAACACUGAUAAAAAGAGCAAGAAAUAGUGUUAAUUUAACGUUUUUGGGACCCCUUGGUGACUUCUUCCUAGAAAAUUUCAAAGUCAAAGUAUGUUUAAAUAGACUUUGAAGUUGUGUUGUGUUAAGUAAGAAAUACCUAGUGUAACUUUAGGAAAAAUACAAUAUUUUAUAAAUAA